Molecule: ribosomal RNA, 530 nt
Filed under: Penicillium citrinum
Lineage: Eukaryota; Fungi; Ascomycota; Eurotiomycetes; Eurotiales; Aspergillaceae
Description: eukaryotic LSU rRNA
Rfam family: 5.8S ribosomal RNA (bases 146-299)
Source: RNAcentral
GGGGGUUACGGGGAUGCGGGUAAUCGGGGGACCUCCCACCCGUGUUGCCCGAACCUAUGUUGCCUCGGCGGGCCCCGCGCCCGCCGACGGCCCCCCUGAACGCUGUCUGAAGUUGCAGUCUGAGACCUAUAACGAAAUUAGUUAAAACUUUCAACAACGGAUCUCUUGGUUCCGGCAUCGAUGAAGAACGCAGCGAAAUGCGAUAACUAAUGUGAAUUGCAGAAUUCAGUGAAUCAUCGAGUCUUUGAACGCACAUUGCGCCCUCUGGUAUUCCGGAGGGCAUGCCUGUCCGAGCGUCAUUGCUGCCCUCAAGCCCGGCUUGUGUGUUGGGCCCCGUCCCCCCCGCCGGGGGGACGGGCCCGAAAGGCAGCGGCGGCACCGCGUCCGGUCCUCGAGCGUAUGGGGCUUCGUCACCCGCUCUAGUAGGCCCGGCCGGCGCCAGCCGACCCCCAACCUUUAAUUAUCUCAGGUUGACCUCGGAUCAGGUAGGGAUACCCGCUGAACUUAAGCAUAUCAAAAAGCGGGAGGAA